GAGCUAAUGAUGAGAAACAUAAAUAUCUUAGCGGAUUUCAGUGAGAUUUUUAAUCAAUGAUCUGAUUGUUACACACACUGAAGCUC
This is a non-coding RNA of Helianthus annuus (common sunflower), 86 nucleotides long. NCBI's taxonomy places the organism in Eukaryota, Viridiplantae, Streptophyta, Magnoliopsida, Asterales, Asteraceae. The record is from Rfam.